UUUGUUUGUAAGUUCCUCAACCAUGAUCUGUUAAUCCUAGCCACAAAAAACAUAUUUUUUUUAAUGCAAAUAAAGAUACAAAAUAUUGAAUUUGAAGAAUAAACAACUAAAAAAUUGAUCUGCAAAAUUAAAUAAAUAAAUAAAUCCAAAGCUCUGGUUGAUUAAUUACUUCCACUGCCCCUUGACAGCAAACUUGAAGCCCUUGUUCUUUCUGGCCGCCACCUUAGCAGUUGAUUUCGCUUGCUCUUCAAUGGCUUCCCUAAUCAACUUUUCCUGCUCUUUUAUCGGCAAAAACCCGUUUUCGCCGUAAAUAUUUUCCUCCAUCCCGUAAUCUCCAUAAUACGGAUUCUUUACCGAAACCCGAAAACUUUUUCCGGCUUCCAUUACGUCUUGUUUGUUCUUACAACUUUUCAACAUGUUACACCGUGGCUUUUUCCAAACAUCCAUGCAAUCUCUUCUUUUCGUCGAAUAUCAGAAAAAAAAAAUGAAUGAUUAAUAUCAAAUAUAUGAUGUUUAUGCAUCUAUAUGUAUAUAUAUAGAUACAACAUUGUAUAUAUCAAGAAUUAUAUAUAUAGAAGAAUGAAGAUUUGCACUUUAUUAAGGGGUUGGUG
RNAcentral lists this long non-coding RNA (611 nucleotides) under Erythranthe guttata (spotted monkey flower). RNAcentral describes it as "long non-coding RNA (EGUT_LNC001075)". Lineage: Eukaryota; Viridiplantae; Streptophyta; Magnoliopsida; Lamiales; Phrymaceae. The record is from RNAcentral.